This 589-nucleotide ribosomal RNA is filed under the name Saccharomyces cerevisiae (brewer's yeast). RNAcentral describes it as "eukaryotic LSU rRNA". It matches the Rfam family "Eukaryotic large subunit ribosomal RNA", at positions 65 to 664 of the family's 3401-position model. Lineage: Eukaryota; Fungi; Ascomycota; Saccharomycetes; Saccharomycetales; Saccharomycetaceae. The record is from RNAcentral.
ACACCGGGGAUUGCCUUAGUACGGCGAGUGAAGCGGCAAAAGCUCAAAUUUGAAAUCUGGUACCUUCGGUGCCCGAGUUGUAAUUUGGAGAGGGCAACUUUGGGGCCGUUCCUUGUCUAUGUUCCUUGGAACAGGACGUCAUAGAGGGUGAGAAUCCCGUGUGGCGAGGAGUGCGGUUCUUUGUAAAGUGCCUUCGAAGAGUCGAGUUGUUUGGGAAUGCAGCUCUAAGUGGGUGGUAAAUUCCAUCUAAAGCUAAAUAUUGGCGAGAGACCGAUAGCGAACAAGUACAGUGAUGGAAAGAUGAAAAGAACUUUGAAAAGAGAGUGAAAAAGUACGUGAAAUUGUUGAAAGGGAAGGGCAUUUGAUCAGACAUGGUGUUUUGUGCCCUCUGCUCCUUGUGGGUAGGGGAAUCUCGCAUUUCACUGGGCCAGCAUCAGUUUUGGUGGCAGGAUAAAUCCAUAGGAAUGUAGCUUGCCUCGGUAAGUAUUAUAGCCUGUGGGAAUACUGCCAGCUGGGACUGAGGACUGCGACGUAAGUCAAGGAUGCUGGCAUAAUGGUUAUAUGCCGCCCGUCUUGAAACACGGGACCA